This 427-nucleotide long non-coding RNA is filed under the name Capsella rubella. Its description in RNAcentral is "long non-coding RNA (CRUB_LNC005207)". Lineage: Eukaryota; Viridiplantae; Streptophyta; Magnoliopsida; Brassicales; Brassicaceae. The record is from RNAcentral.
GAACAUAGAAUGAUUUUAAAGUAUGGUCAUGUGGUGAAAAUUAAUAAUUACUUAUGGGGAAACAAAAGACAAGAUAGAGAUUUUUAACAGUGAAAAUGAUCAAAGUUGAUAGCUCAUAAUAUGUUUGGUUUUCUUUUAAAAUAAUUCUUUAAAACCAACUAAUAAAAAAAAAUUCGAGUGUUCACAAAAUUUUUAAUACUCACAUGAUCGAAUAUAUUCCAUAGUGUAUUUUUUUUUUUUUUUGUAAACUAUUCCAUAGUGUAUUUUAAGCUAUGUAUAUAUCAUUUGACUAUACAUUAUAAAAUCUAGACUCGUAAUUCUAAUGCAGUAAAAGCAUGUAAUUAUUAAGUUGAUAGAUAGAUAAAUGGAGUAUGAUCGUAUAAUCUCGGUUUACGUACCAAAUUAAACGCCAUUGCUUUUGUUAAUU